GUUGUUCAGUACUUUCGUGAUAAUAAAACAAGCAGACAUUGAUUUUGCCAAGAUUGAAGGAAAGAAUCUGGCCAUAAGCGUUGUGGAUUCUCAGCGUUAUUCGAAUGUAAGUGGAUCGGGUUCUACUAGUUAUUCGGAAUGUUUCGAAUCAUCACAGAAGACGUGUCGGGUUCAACUCUCCUAUAUCAACAUACUCUUCUCCAGACGCUUAAUUCAGAUUCAGGAAACAGAUGAUUUGUAAAAAAAACGGUUGAUGAAACCGAAGCUGUUAUUUCUGUUGUUCAGUACUUCCG
RNAcentral lists this long non-coding RNA (293 nucleotides) under Helianthus annuus (common sunflower). RNAcentral describes it as "sRNA HanXRQr2_Chr01g0026881". Lineage: Eukaryota; Viridiplantae; Streptophyta; Magnoliopsida; Asterales; Asteraceae. The record is from RNAcentral.